GUUUGAGACUCGUGCUUAUUUGGCUGAAUCUAAUAAUUAUGAAUUAUUUAUAUUAUUUAUCAGUGGCAUUUUAUUUAAGUAUGAAUGCAGUUUUGGCUUUGUAAAUUUGGCUUCUUCUCAUAUAGGCUGCUUGUGUUCAUACCUUUGUUUGGCAUCAUCAACUUUAGAAUUUUAUUACAUUGAACUGUGUGUUUGUUACAUGCAAUUUCAGAAUUUUUUCAUGAAAAAGAGCAAAGAACAUUUACAUGACAAAUAUAUCUCAUCAUAGGAGUUGUUAUUUCUUUCCGAAAGGAAGAUGGAAAUCAUACAAAUCCUCCAUUCAAGUAAUGACAGUGGACAAUAGCAAGCAAACAAAACAAUAACAGCCAACACAGGGGUUGAAUCUAACGGCUAGACUCCCACGACGUAGCAAACCAAAAUUUGAAUCUCGUUGCAAUAAAUGUUCACAUUUAGUGCCCGAUAGCGCCUAAAAAACAUAACGCGCCAAAAACUNNNAAUUACUAAGUUUAAUAGGUGAAUGCUGCAACAAAGAGCAUCAAUAUGGUUUGAUCGGUGCAGCGAAGGCACAAUCUGCUGCCUUAACAGUAUUUGUGCAACACAAACCUAGAAAAUACAACAACAAGAAGCAAGCUAUAUCCCACUAAGCGGGGUGAUACAGAUCUUUCGUGAUAGCCUAAUUAGAUACUUGACAAUAAAUCGGACCCAUUCAUGUUACAAUAAUGAAAUCGUCCAAUUUUCAGCACACAAACAAAUUAAAUUUUAAGCUUAUAUUCAAACAAAUUACAGCAUCAUUAAAAUCAAAGUAAUAGAAAAUUGAAACCAAAAUCUAUGUACCUUUGUUAAAAUUGAAGUCCACUAGCUUGCAUUGAUGCUUCCUCAAACGGUUCCUUUUAAUUAAAAUUUUAAAGUAGUAAAAUAUUCGCUAUAAAAGAAAACGAGAGAAAAUAUAAGUGGAUAUGAAAUUCAAGAUUAACGAUGAUGAGAAUACAUAGCGUUGGAUGAUGUUUACCGUCAGGUCUGUGGCUGGUCUAUCACGGGCAGCAGAAAAUGGCCGUCAUGGCAGAUCCGGUG
Molecule: long non-coding RNA, 1071 nt
Filed under: Trifolium pratense (red clover)
Lineage: Eukaryota; Viridiplantae; Streptophyta; Magnoliopsida; Fabales; Fabaceae
Description: long non-coding RNA (TPRA_LNC007529)
Source: RNAcentral